GGUUGAUCCUGCCAGUAGUCAUAUGCUUGUCUAAAAGAUUAAGCCAUGCAUGUGUUAGUGUAAAUAUUUCACAGUAGGACUGCGGAUGGCUCAUUAAAUCAGUUAUAGUUUAUUUGAUGGUUUCUUUUUACUACUUGGAUAACCGUAGUAAUUCUAGAGCUAAUACAUGCAUAAAGUCCUGACUAAGGGGUAACUUUUGGAAGGGAUGUAUUUAUUAGAUUAAAAACCAAUACAUACUUCGGUAUGGCCAACUUGGUGAUUCAUAAUAACUCAAACGAAUCGCAUUAUAC
This 290-nucleotide ribosomal RNA is filed under the name uncultured eukaryote. RNAcentral describes it as "partial 18S ribosomal RNA". It matches the Rfam family "Eukaryotic small subunit ribosomal RNA", at positions 6 to 279 of the family's 1831-position model. The record is from RNAcentral.